Molecule: non-coding RNA, 143 nt
Filed under: Clostridium sp.
Lineage: Bacteria; Bacillati; Bacillota; Clostridia; Eubacteriales; Clostridiaceae
Also listed under: 1 other name
Description: FMN sequence
Rfam family: FMN riboswitch aptamer (RFN element)
About the family: The RFN element is a highly conserved domain that is found frequently in the 5'-untranslated regions of prokaryotic mRNAs that encode for flavin mononucleotide (FMN) biosynthesis and transport proteins.
Source: RNAcentral
AAAAUUCUUCAGGGCAGGGUGCAAUUCCCGACCGGUGGUAAUAGUCCACGAGCGAAUUUUUUUAAAAUUUGCUGAUAUGGUGUAAUUCCAUAACCGACAGUGAUAUUACAAGUGUAAUAAAGUCUGGAUGGGAGAAGAAUAAA